RNAcentral lists this ribosomal RNA (468 nucleotides) under uncultured bacterium. Its description in RNAcentral is "partial 16S ribosomal RNA". It matches the Rfam family "Bacterial small subunit ribosomal RNA", at positions 28 to 507 of the family's 1533-position model. The record is from RNAcentral.
GACGAACGCUGGCGGCGUGCUUAACACAUGCAAGUCGAACGGAAAGGCCCUGCUUUUGUGGUGUGCUCGAGUGGCGAACGGGUGAGUAACACGUGAGUAACCUGCCCUUGACUUUGGGAUAACUUCAGGAAACUGGGGCUAAUACCGGAUAGGAGCUCCUGCUGCAUGGUGGGGGUUGGAAAGUUUCGGCGGUUGGGGAUGGACUCGCGGCUUAUCAGCUUGUUGGUGGGGUAGUGGCUUACCAAGGCUUUGACGGGUAGCCGGCCUGAGAGGGUGACCGGCCACAUUGGGACUGAGAUACGGCCCAGACUCCUACGGGAGGCAGCAGUGGGGAAUAUUGCACAAUGGGCGGAAGCCUGAUGCAGCAACGCCGCGUGCGGGAUGACGGCCUUCGGGUUGUAAACCGCUUUCGCCUGUGACGAAGCGUGAGUGACGGUAAUGGGUAAAGAAGCAUCGGCUAACUACGUG